RNAcentral lists this ribosomal RNA (120 nucleotides) under uncultured Variovorax sp. RNAcentral describes it as "partial 16S ribosomal RNA". Lineage: Bacteria; Pseudomonadati; Pseudomonadota; Betaproteobacteria; Burkholderiales; Comamonadaceae. The record is from RNAcentral.
AUGGAAGGGCGCAGCCUGGAUCCAGCCAUGCCGCGUGCAGGGAUGAAGGCCUUCGGGUUGUAAACUGCUUUUGUACGGAACGAAACGGCCUUUUCUAAUAAAGAGGGCUNAUGACGGUAC